GAAAACAUUCAGCUGCUCUGAGUGUGGGAAAAGAUUUGGCCAAAACGGAAAUCUGAAGAGACACAUGAGAACUCAUACAGGAGAGAAACCUUUCAGCUGCUCUGAGUGUGGUAGAGCUUUCUCUGAUAGUGGAAACCUGAAGAAACACAUGAGUACUCACACAGGAGAAAAACCUUUCAGCUGCUCAGUCUGUAAGAAAUCUUUUUCACGUAGUGGAAUUUUACAGAAACACAUGAGAAUCCACACAGGAGAAAAACCUUUCAGUUGCUCUGAGUGUGGUAAAGCUUUCACUGAAAGUGGAGCCCUGAAGAAACACAUAAGAAUCCAUACAGGAGAAAAACCUUUCAGCUGCUCAGUUUGUAAGAAAUCUUUUACAUACAGUGGAGCUUUAAAGAUACACAAGAGAACUCACACAGGAGAAAAACCUUUUAGCUGCUCAGUUUGUAAUACAUCUUUUACACAGAGAGGAAAUUUACAGUUCCACAUGGCAGUCCACACAGGAGAUAGAAGAUUCAGCUGCAGUGUUUGUAACAAAAGAUUUUCCCGGCGUUCUGAUGUCAAAACACAUAAAUGUGUUGGUCAGAUGGAAACAGAAGCUGAUGGAGAGGACUGUGGAGGACCAGAACCAGCCAGGAACUCACAUCCACUUUUACAACCAGAGACUGAAGACCAGACUGGAGACUCUUCUGAUCCUGAGACUGGUGACAUGGAAUAAUGUUUGUGCAUUUAAGUCCAAGCAAAACUUCUCAAGUAUCAAACAAAAAUCUUUAUGUGUUAAAAUCUAGAUAGAAUACAUUAUAAGUACACUCUUAUUUUAAAUAUUUUAUUAGAUAUUGUUUUGUCUUGUGAUGUCUGUCAUAUAAUCAAUUAUAAUCAAGAAAUCAGACAAAUGUAACCACCUGAUAUUUUAUAGGGCCCACACAUAUAUUCACUUCUUUCUAAGUAACGUAUGUUUAACAAGAUUCACUAUUAAUCAUGUAUCAGUAUGGGAGUUUAUUCAAUACACAUUGGGUUCAUGUUUUAAUUUUGUGUAUCAUGUUUAAGCACAAUUUAGACCCAUCAGUCUCUGAGAGGAGACUUUUCUCUCUGUGUCAGGGAGACAGGAAGUGCAGGUUGAAAGCUAUCUUUAGUUUAAACAAGGGAGAUGUGAGGGAGGUAGCAGAGGGAAGUUAUCCUAGCAAGGUGUUUCCUGUCAGGGAGCGGAGGAGUUUUCUCUUUGAAGCUAAGCCUGAGAUGGACAUAUUAUGGUCUGUAUAAAACUAUAAAAACUCACUCGUGCAUUGCUAUGUUCCAAGGUAAUAUGAUCAGUGACACCAAAAUGAUUAAGGUCUUUUGACAUGUAUAGUGUCGCCUAUGCCACUAAUUAGGCCAUGGUAAAGCUAAUAAAGUAAAGAAAUAUAA
Sander lucioperca (pikeperch) is the source of this 1401-nucleotide long non-coding RNA. RefSeq lists it as uncharacterized. Lineage: Eukaryota; Metazoa; Chordata; Actinopteri; Perciformes; Percidae. The record is from RefSeq and is a predicted model, not a curated record. The transcript is spliced from 2 exons.